UAAUACAUGCAAGUCGAGCGGACAGAAGGGAGCUUGCUCCCGGAUGUUAGCGGCGGACGGGUGAGUAACACGUGGGUAACCUGCCUGUAAGACUGGGAUAACUCCGGGAAACCGGAGCUAAUACCGGAUAGUUCCUUGAACCGCAUGGUUCAAGGAUGAAAGACGGUUUCGGCUGUCACUUACAGAUGGACCCGCGGCGCAUUAGCUAGUUGGUGAGGUAACGGCUCACCAAGGCGACGAUGCGUAGCCGACCUGAGAGGGUGAUCGGCCACACUGGGACUGAGACACGGCCCAGACUCCUACGGGAGGCAGCAGUAGGGAAUCUUCCGCAAUGGACGAAAGUCUGACGGAGCAACGCCGCGUGAGUGAUGAAGGUUUUCGGAUCGUAAAGCUCUGUUGUUAGGGAAGAACAAGUGCAAGAGUAACUGCUUGCACCUUGACGGUACCUAACCAGAAAGCCACGGCUAACUACGUGCCAGCAGCCGCGGUAAUACGUAGGUGGCAAGCGUUGUCCGGAAUUAUUGGGCGUAAAGGGCUCGCAGGCGGUUUCUUAAGUCUGAUGUGAAAGCCCCCGGCUCAACCGGGGAGGGUCAUUGGAAACUGGGAAACUUGAGUGCAGAAGAGGAGAGUGGAAUUCCACGUGUAGCGGUGAAAUGCGUAGAGAUGUGGAGGAACACCAGUGGCGAAGGCGACUCUCUGGUCUGUAACUGACGCUGAGGAGCGAAAGCGUGGGGAGCGAACAGGAUUAGAUACCCUGGUAGUCCACGCCGUAAACGAUGAGUGCUAAGUGUUAGGGGGUU
Molecule: ribosomal RNA, 800 nt
Filed under: Bacillus aerius
Lineage: Bacteria; Bacillati; Bacillota; Bacilli; Caryophanales; Bacillaceae
Description: bacterial SSU rRNA
Rfam family: Bacterial small subunit ribosomal RNA
Source: RNAcentral